RNAcentral lists this ribosomal RNA (253 nucleotides) under uncultured bacterium. Its description in RNAcentral is "partial 16S ribosomal RNA". It matches the Rfam family "Bacterial small subunit ribosomal RNA", at positions 524 to 776 of the family's 1533-position model. The record is from RNAcentral.
UACGGGGGGGGCAAGCGUUGUUCGGAAUUACUGGGCGUAAAGGGUGCGUAGGCGGUCUGUUAAGUUGGAUGUGAAAACUCUGGGCUCAACCCAGAGCCUGCAUCCAAAACUGGCAGGCUAGAGUUCUGGAGGGGGUAGCGGAAUUCCUGGUGUAGCGGUGAAAUGCGUUGAUAUUGGAAGGAACGCCGGAGGCGAAAGCGGCGCACUGGAUUUCUUCUGACGCUGAGGCGCGAAAGCUAGGGGAGCAAACGGG